UACGACUAUAUUACGUUGAAACACCGGUUCUCGUACGAUCAUCGAAGUUAAGCAACGCUGAGCCUGGUCAGUACUUAGAUGGAUGAUCACUUGGGAAUACCAGGUGCUGUAAG
This is a non-coding RNA of Acanthosepion pharaonis, 113 nucleotides long. Lineage: Eukaryota; Metazoa; Mollusca; Cephalopoda; Sepiida; Sepiidae. The record is from the annotation of a GenBank genome assembly.